AAGACUAUACUUUUAGGGAUUGUUUCUAUAGUUUCUGACUUGAGAAAUGUGUUUCUAAACUGUAUGGUCUCGCUGACCACGAUGAAGAGUUGGUGAUACUCCUUCCUGAACAUGAAACAGGCAGAGACUUGGUUUAUUCAUGUUCUCUGCUCCUGAUGACUGUUCACUGUUUCAUCUGGAGACAGUGAGGAAAGGAGUCUGAUCUGAGUGGUU
Molecule: small nucleolar RNA, 213 nt
Organism: Neogobius melanostomus (round goby)
Lineage: Eukaryota; Metazoa; Chordata; Actinopteri; Gobiiformes; Gobiidae
Source: Ensembl